Molecule: long non-coding RNA, 638 nt
Organism: Leguminivora glycinivorella
Lineage: Eukaryota; Metazoa; Arthropoda; Insecta; Lepidoptera; Tortricidae
Exons: 2
Source: RefSeq, a predicted model, not a curated record
UGUAAAUUCAUACAUAAGUGCGACACAGAGGCAACUCGUCAUAAGAGGUUCGCGCGGUAGUCCCUCAGUUUUACUCACAGUAUUGUUGUCACUAGACCAUAAUAAUGGUUAGUUUAGGAAAGCAUUAUUUUUCUUACGUUCAUUUAAAUCUGACGUGCGUUCAAAGAUGAAUAGUUUACCUACGCCUUUAUUGCAUUCCGUGAAGUGACUGUUCUCUCGGGCACUCGAACGAUAAGGUGUAAUAAGAUGCAUUUAGCCAUGAAAUACACUCGCGUGAUGAAGAUUUGUUUUGCAGUGUUUUUAGUAUUAGUGUACUUUCAAGGGGUAAAUGCCGUUCAGAAAAAGUCUCAUUGCCGUUACAACUGUGAAGACCUAUGUUUGACCAGAGGCAAAAGUGGCGGUGCAUGCAUGCGAAGUUCCUGCAAAUGUUUCUCUGCGAUUGACAGCUGACCAGACGCCCUCCGCCUAUAUCCCACGCUCGGGGGAUUAGACAAGAUGACAAUAAAAUUAUACAUUGAAAACAUCACAUCCUCCUGUUCGUAAUAGUAUCUUACGAACAUGACGAUGUGAUUUUUUCGAUGCCUAAACAAUUUAAGGUUUAUUCGAUGAAUAAAUAAAUUUCAUUUUCUUUUAACCUA